This 1962-nucleotide ribosomal RNA is filed under the name human gut metagenome. RNAcentral describes it as "bacterial LSU rRNA". It matches the Rfam family "Bacterial large subunit ribosomal RNA", at positions 1 to 1990 of the family's 2925-position model. The record is from RNAcentral.
UUAAGCGACUAAGCGUACACGGUGGAUGCCCUGGCAGUCAGAGGCGAUGAAGGACGUGCUAAUCUGCGAUAAGCGUCGGUAAGGUGAUAUGAACCGUUAUAACCGGCGAUUUCCGAAUGGGGAAACCCAGUGUGUUUCGACACACUAUCAUUAACUGAAUCCAUAGGUUAAUGAGGCGAACCGGGGGAACUGAAACAUCUAAGUACCCCGAGGAAAAGAAAUCAACCGAGAUUCCCCCAGUAGCGGCGAGCGAACGGGGAGCAGCCCAGAGCCUGAAUCAGUGUGUGUGUUAGUGGAAGCGUCUGGAAAGGCGCGCGAUACAGGGUGACAGCCCCGUACACAAAAAUGCACAUGCUGUGAGCUCGAUGAGUAGGGCGGGACACGUGGUAUCCUGUCUGAAUAUGGGGGGACCAUCCUCCAAGGCUAAAUACUCCUGACUGACCGAUAGUGAACCAGUACCGUGAGGGAAAGGCGAAAAGAACCCCGGCGAGGGGAGUGAAAAAGAACCUGAAACCGUGUACGUACAAGCAGUGGGAGCACGCUUAGGCGUGUGACUGCGUACCUUUUGUAUAAUGGGUCAGCGACUUAUAUUCUGUAGCAAGGUUAACCGAAUAGGGGAGCCGAAGGGAAACCGAGUCUUAACUGGGCGUUAAGUUGCAGGGUAUAGACCCGAAACCCGGUGAUCUAGCCAUGGGCAGGUUGAAGGUUGGGUAACACUAACUGGAGGACCGAACCGACUAAUGUUGAAAAAUUAGCGGAUGACUUGUGGCUGGGGGUGAAAGGCCAAUCAAACCGGGAGAUAGCUGGUUCUCCCCGAAAGCUAUUUAGGUAGCGCCUCGUGAAUUCAUCUCCGGGGGUAGAGCACUGUUUCGGCAAGGGGGUCAUCCCGACUUACCAACCCGAUGCAAACUGCGAAUACCGGAGAAUGUUAUCACGGGAGACACACGGCGGGUGCUAACGUCCGUCGUGAAGAGGGAAACAACCCAGACCGCCAGCUAAGGUCCCAAAGUCAUGGUUAAGUGGGAAACGAUGUGGGAAGGCCCAGACAGCCAGGAUGUUGGCUUAGAAGCAGCCAUCAUUUAAAGAAAGCGUAAUAGCUCACUGGUCGAGUCGGCCUGCGCGGAAGAUGUAACGGGGCUAAACCAUGCACCGAAGCUGCGGCAGCGACGCUGAUGCGUUGUUGGGUAGGGGAGCGUUCUGUAAGCCUGCGAAGGUGUGCUGUGAGGCAUGCUGGAGGUAUCAGAAGUGCGAAUGCUGACAUAAGUAACGAUAAAGCGGGUGAAAAGCCCGCUCGCCGGAAGACCAAGGGUUCCUGUCCAACGUUAAUCGGGGCAGGGUGAGUCGACCCCUAAGGCGAGGCCGAAAGGCGUAGUCGAUGGGAAACAGGUUAAUAUUCCUGUACUUGGUGUUACUGCGAAGGGGGGACGGAGAAGGCUAUGUUGGCCGGGCGACGGUUGUCCCGGUUUAAGCGUGUAGGCUGGUUUUCCAGGCAAAUCCGGAAAAUCAAGGCUGAGGCGUGAUGACGAGGCACUACGGUGCUGAAGCAACAAAUGCCCUGCUUCCAGGAAAAGCCUCUAAGCAUCAGGUAACAUCAAAUCGUACCCCAAACCGACACAGGUGGUCAGGUAGAGAAUACCAAGGCGCUUGAGAGAACUCGGGUGAAGGAACUAGGCAAAAUGGUGCCGUAACUUCGGGAGAAGGCACGCUGAUAUGUAGGUGAAGUCCCUCGCGGAUGGAGCUGAAAUCAGUCGAAGAUACCAGCUGGCUGCAACUGUUUAUUAAAAACACAGCACUGUGCAAACACGAAAGUGGACGUAUACGGUGUGACGCCUGCCCGGUGCCGGAAGGUUAAUUGAUGGGGUCAGCGCAAGCGAAGCUCUUGAUCGAAGCCCCGGUAAACGGCGGCCGUAACUAUAACGGUCCUAAGGUAGCGAAAUUCCUUGUCGGGUAAGUUCCGACCUG